AUUGAACGCUGGCGGCAUGCCUUACACAUGCAAGUCGAACGGCAGCACGGGAGCAAUCCUGGUGGCGAGUGGCGAACGGGGGAGUAAAGUAUCGGAACGUGCACAGACGAGGGGGAAAACGUGGCGAUAGCUACGCUAAUCGCGCAUGCGAACUAUGGAUGAAAGUGGGGGAGCGCAAGACCUAGCGCGAUUGGAGCGGCGGAUAUCAGAUUAGGUAGUUGGUGGGGUAAAGGCUCACCAAGCCGACGAGAUGUAGCUGGUCUGAGAGGACGACCAGGCACACUGGGACUGAGAAACGGCCCAGACUCCUACGGGAGGCAGCAGUGGGGAAUUUUGGACAAUGGGCGAAAGCCUGAUCCAGCCAUGCCGCGUGCAGGAUGAAGGCCUUCGGGUUGUAAACUGCUUUUGUUCGGAGCGAAAAGGUUUGGCCUAAUAAGCUGAGCUCAUGACGGUACCGUAAGAAUAAGCACCGGCUAACUACGUGCCAGCCGCCGCCGUAA
RNAcentral lists this ribosomal RNA (500 nucleotides) under uncultured bacterium. Its description in RNAcentral is "partial 16S ribosomal RNA". It matches the Rfam family "Bacterial small subunit ribosomal RNA", at positions 29 to 523 of the family's 1533-position model. The record is from RNAcentral.